Molecule: non-coding RNA, 763 nt
Filed under: Rhaetus westwoodii
Lineage: Eukaryota; Metazoa; Arthropoda; Insecta; Coleoptera; Lucanidae
Source: RNAcentral
UAUAGGAAAGUUUUAUUAUGGCUUAAAUAAUUUGGUGAUUGAUAAUUACACAUGCGGGAAUUGGGCUAGAGGAUGGUUGUGAAUCGGUGUGCAGUGAUUGAAUUUAAUAAUUAAGAGGACUUAGAAUUAGAUAUUUAAAAAUGUACAGACAAAUCUUGUGCCAGCAGUUGCGGUUAAACAUGAUGUACUUCUGAAUUUGAUUCGGGUGAUAGUUAUCUUUUUGUUUUUUUGAUAAUAGUUGAUUGUAUAAGGUGAAAUUUUAUAAUUAAUUAAAUUUAUUAAGGAGAGAGAUUCUAUUAGAUUACAGUACUAAACUAGGAUUAGAUACCCUAUUAUUUGUAAUGUAAAUUUGUACUCCUGAGAAGUAUUAGUAUAAUCUUAAAAUUUAAAGAAUUUGGCGGUGUUUUAGUCUAUUUAGAGGAACCUGUCCUGUGAUUGAUAAUCCACGAUUAAUUGAACUUAUUCUUUAAAUUUGUAUAUCGUCGUUAUUUGAAUAUCUUUGGAGGGGUUAAUGUUCAGGAUAUACAAUUAUAUAUUAAAUCAGAUCAAGGUGCAGUUAAUGGGUAAGGAGAGAUGGGUUACAAUAGAUUUAUUUAUAUGGUUUGAGGAAUGAGAUUUCUUUGAUAAAUUGGAUUUGAUAGUAAGGUGAAUGAUUUAAUUUAUUUGAUUUUAGCUCUAGAAUAUGCACAUAUCGCCCGUCACUCCCACCAUAAGGUGGGAUAAGUCGUAACAUAGUAGGUGUACCGGAAGGUGUACCUAGAAA